This 360-nucleotide long non-coding RNA is filed under the name Setaria italica (foxtail millet). RNAcentral describes it as "long non-coding RNA (SITA_LNC002413)". The record is from RNAcentral. Lineage: Eukaryota; Viridiplantae; Streptophyta; Magnoliopsida; Poales; Poaceae.
UCUUGAUCUAUAGCUCGGACACCUGGGACCAUACUAUUACGAUGAUGAUGGAACGUAUGCGAUGGGACCUAGAGAUCAGCAUAAUGGAAGAAGUUACUCCUGAGAUGAGAGUAUCAUAUCGAUCUAGUAUCUACUUUUUCACGGGGACCUUGAUCUUUCCAUCGAUCCUUAGGCGAAUUCAUUACUUGAGUACUGUACUAUCUUUCUUUAUACUACUAUUCUUUUCUUGAUAUCGCUUUUUCUUUGCAUCUGGGAUCCGCUUGACCACCUUCUAUACGCCUUGUUCUUGGAAAGGCAAAACCAUCAAAGCGUUGAUUAAAGAAAAGUAACUCCCAUCCUAUAAGACCUCGGAUCUCCCCU